AUUGAACGCUGGCGGCAGGCCUAACACAUGCAAGUCGAGCGGUUGACGGGAGCUUGCUCCCUGAUUCAGCGGCGGACGGGUGAGUAAUGCCUAGGAAUCUGCCUAUUAGUGGGGGACAACGUUUCGAAAGGAACGCUAAUACCGCAUACGUCCUACGGGAGAAAGCAGGGGACCUUCGGGCCUUGCGCUAAUAGAUGAGCCUAGGUCGGAUUAGCUUGUUGGUGAGGUAAUGGCUCACCAAGGCGACGAUCCGUAACUGGUCUGAGAGGAUGAUCAGUCACACUGGAACUGAGACACGGUCCAGACUCCUACGGGAGGCAGCAGUGGGGAAUAUUGGACAAUGGGCGAAAGCCUGAUCCAGCCAAGCCGCGUGUGUGAAGAAGGUCUUCGGAUUGUAAAGCACUUUAAGUUGGGAGGAAGGGUUGUAGAUUAAUACUCUGCAAUUUUGACGUUACCGACAGAAUAAGCACCGGCUAACUCUGUGCCAGCAGCCGCUGUAA
RNAcentral lists this ribosomal RNA (500 nucleotides) under uncultured bacterium. Its description in RNAcentral is "partial 16S ribosomal RNA". It matches the Rfam family "Bacterial small subunit ribosomal RNA", at positions 30 to 523 of the family's 1533-position model. The record is from RNAcentral.